CUUGUUGACUAGGCGCUGUUCUUGCUGGCUGGUGCCCCAGGGCCUGGAGAGGUCUGAAGAAACCUGGGAGCCAGCAGCCCUGGGCUCCGCUCUGGGUUCUGAAAGCCCAUUCCAUGCUCUGCGGCUCCUCCCACCCCACCUCUUCUCAGCCUUGCAGCUCAAGGGUUGAUCUCAGGAGUCCAGGACCCAGGAGAGGGAAGAAUCUGAGGAACACAGAACAGUGCCCUGGGAUUUAUAAAACUGGGUUCUGAAUGCUGAAUAAGAGACGGUAAGAGCCAAGGCAAAGGACAGCACUGUUCUCUGCCUGCCUGAUACCCUCACCACCUGGGAACAUCCCCCAGACACCCCCUUAACUCCGGGACAGAGAUGGCUGGCGGAGCCUGGGGCCGCCUGGCCUGUUACUUGGAGUUCCUGAAGAAGGAGGAGCUGAAGGAGUUCCAGCUUCUGCUCGCCAAUAAAGCGCACUCCAGGAGCUCUUCGGGUGAGACACCCGCUCAGCCAGAGAAGACGAGUGGCAUGGAGGUGGCCUCGUACCUGGUGGCUCAGUAUGGGGAGCAGCGGGCCUGGGACCUAGCCCUCCAUACCUGGGAGCAGAUGGGGCUGAGGUCACUGUGCACCCAAGCCCAGGAAGGGGCAGGCCACUCUCCCUCAUUCCCCUACAGCCCAAGUGAACCCCACCUGGGGUCUCCCAGCCAACCCACCUCCACCGCAGUGCUAAUGCCCUGGAUCCAUGAAUUGCCGGCGGGGUGCACCCAGGGCUCAGAGAGAAGGGUUUUGAGACAGCUGCCUGACACAUCUGGACGCCGCUGGAGAGAAAUCUCUGCCUCACUCCUCUACCAAGCUCUUCCAAGCUCCCCAGACCAUGAGUCUCCAAGCCAGGAGUCACCCAAUGCCCCCACAUCCACAGCAGUGCUGGGGAGCUGGGGAUCCCCACCUCAGCCCAGCCUAGCACCCAGAGAGCAGGAGGCUCCUGGGACCCAAUGGCCUCUGGAUGAAACGUCAGGAAUUUACUACACAGAAAUCAGAGAAAGAGAGAGAGAGAAAUCAGAGAAAGGCAGGCCCCCAUGGGCAGCGGUGGUAGGAACGCCCCCACAGGCGCACGCCAGCCUACAGCCCCACCACCACCCAUGGGAGCCUUCUGUGAGAGAGAGCCUCUGUUCCACAUGGCCCUGGAAAAAUGAGGAUUUGAACCAAAAAUUCACACAGCUGCUACUUCUACAAAGACCUCACCCCAGAAGCCAAGAUCCCCUGGUCAAGAGAAGCUGGCCUGAUUAUGUGGAGGAGAAUCGAGGACAUUUAAUUGAGAUCAGAGACUUAUUUGGCCCAGGCCUGGAUACCCAAGAACCUCGCGUAGUCAUACUGCAGGGGGCUGCUGGAAUUGGGAAGUCAACACUGGCCAGGCAGGUGAAGGAAGCCUGGGGGAGAGGCCAGCUGUAUGGGGACCGCUUCCAGCAUGUCUUCUACUUCAGCUGCAGAGAGCUGGCCCAGUCCAAGGUGGUGAGUCUCGCUGAGCUCAUCGGAAAAGAUGGGACAGCCACUCCGGCUCCCAUUAGACAGAUCCUGUCUAGGCCAGAGCGGCUGCUCUUCAUCCUCGAUGGUGUAGAUGAGCCAGGAUGGGUCUUGCAGGAGCCGAGUUCUGAGCUCUGUCUGCACUGGAGCCAGCCACAGCCGGCGGAUGCACUGCUGGGCAGUUUGCUGGGGAAAACCAUACUUCCCGAGGCAUCCUUCCUGAUCACGGCUCGGACCACAGCUCUGCAGAACCUCAUUCCUUCUUUGGAGCAGGCACGUUGGGUAGAGGUCCUGGGGUUCUCUGAGUCCAGCAGGAAGGAAUAUUUCUACAAAUAUUUCACAGAUGAAAGGCAAGCAAUUAGAGCCUUUAGGUUGGUCAAAUCAAACAAAGAGCUCUGGGCCCUGUGUCUUGUGCCCUGGGUGUCCUGGCUGGCCUGCACUUGCCUGAUGCAGCAGAUGAAGCAGAAGGAAAAACUCACACUGACUUCCAAGACCACCACAACCCUCUGUCUACAUUACCUUGCCCAGGCUCUCCAAGCUCAGCCAUUGGGACCCCAGCUCAGAGACCUCUGCUCUCUGGCUGCUGAGGGCAUCUGGCAAAAAAAGACCCUUUUCAGUCCAGAUGACCUCAGGAAGCAUGGGUUAGAUGGGGCCAUCAUCUCCACCCUCUUGAAGAUGGGUAUUCUUCAAGAGCACCCCAUCCCUCUGAGCUACAGCUUCAUUCACCUCUGUUUCCAGGAGUUCUUUGCAGCAAUGUCCUAUGUCUUGGAGGAUAAGAAGGGGAGAGGUAAACAUUCUAAUUGCAUCAUAGAUUUGGAAAAGAUGCUAGAAGCAUAUGGAAUACAUGGCCUGUUUGGGGCAUCAACCACACGUUUCCUAUUGGGCCUGUUAAGUGAUGAGGGGGAGAGAGAGAUGGAGAACAUCUUUCACUGCCGGCUGUCUCAGGGGAGGAACCUGAUGCAGUGGGUCCCGUCCCUGCAGCUGCUGCUGCAGCCACACUCUCUGGAGUCCCUCCACUGCUUGUACGAGACUCGGAACAAAACGUUCCUGACACAAGUGAUGGCCCAUUUCGAAGAAAUGGGCAUGUGUGUAGAAACAGACAUGGAGCUCUUAGUGUGCACUUUCUGCAUUAAAUUCAGCCACCACGUGAAGAAGCUUCAACUGAUUGAGGGCAGGCAGCACAGAUCAACAUGGAGCCCCACCAUGGUAGUCCUGUUCAGGUGGGUCCCAGUCACAGAUGCCUAUUGGCAGAUUCUCUUCUCCGUCCUCAAGGUCACCAGAAACCUGAAGGAGCUGGACCUAAGUGGAAACUUGCUGAGCCACUCUGCAGUGAAGAGUCUUUGUAAGACCCUGAGACGCCCUCGCUGCCUCCUGGAGACCCUGCGGUUGGCUGGCUGUGGCCUCAGAGCUGAGGACUGCAAGGACCUUGCCUUUGGGCUGAGAGCCAACCAGGCCCUGACCGAGCUGGACCUGAGCUUCAAUGUGCUCACGGAUGCUGGAGCCAAACACCUUUGCCAGAGACUGAGACAGCCGAGCUGCAAGCUACAGCGACUGCAGCUGGUCAGCUGUGGCCUCACGUCUGACUGCUGCCAGGACCUGGCCUCUGUGCUUAGUGCCAGCCCCAGCCUGAAGGAGCUAGACCUGCAGCAGAACAACCUGGACGACGUUGGCGUGCGACUGCUCUGUGAGGGGCUCAGGCAUCCUGCCUGCAAACUCAUACACCUGGGGCUGGACCAGAUGACUCUGAGUGAUGAGAUGAGGCAGGAGCUGAGGGCCCUGGAGCAGGAGAAGCCUCAGCUGCUCAUCUUCAGCAGACGGAAACCAAGUGUGAUGACCCCUAUUGAGGGCCUGGAUACAGGAGAGAUGAGCACAUCCUCACUCAAGCGGCAGAGACUCGGAUCAGAGAGGGCGGCUUCCCAUGUUGCUCAGGCUAAUCUCAAACUCCUGGACGUGAGCAAGAUCUUCCCAAUUGCUGAGAUUGCAGAGGAAAGCUCCCCAGAGGUAGUACCGGUGGAACUCUUGUGCGUGCCUUCUCCUGCCUCUCAGGGGGAUCUGCAUAUGAAGCCUUUGGGGACUGACGAUGACUUCUGGGGCCCCACGGGGCCUGUGGCUACUGAGGUAGUUGACAAAGAAAAGAACUUGUACCGAGUUCACUUCCCUGUAGCUGGCUCCUACCGCUGGCCCAAUACGGGUCUCUGCUUUGUGGUGAGAGAAGCAGUGACCGUUGAGAUUGAAUUCUGUGUGUGGGACCAGUUCCUGGGUGAGAUCAACCCACAGCACAGCUGGAUGGUGGCAGGGCCUCUGCUGGACAUCAAGGCUGAGCCUGGAGCCGUGGAAGCUGUGCACCUCCCUCACUUUGUGGCUCUCCAAGGCAGGGAGAAGAAACAGUGUCAUCAGACGCCAUCUGAGAGCUGGAGCCAUGAAACAGGGGCUUCCCAUAGAAGAUAGUAAUCAUAAAGUAUGAUUUUAUGUCACCUCCAAAGACUUCCCACAGAGUUCCAAGAAAUAUCAGCUAACAGUCAAAAAUCUCACAAA
This 4044-nucleotide small RNA is filed under the name Pan troglodytes (chimpanzee). RNAcentral describes it as "processed transcript". Lineage: Eukaryota; Metazoa; Chordata; Mammalia; Primates; Hominidae. The record is from RNAcentral.